Molecule: ribosomal RNA, 748 nt
Filed under: uncultured marine archaeon
Lineage: Archaea
Description: bacterial SSU rRNA
Rfam family: Archaeal small subunit ribosomal RNA
Source: RNAcentral
CUGACUGCUAUCGGAUUGAUACUAAGCCAUGCGAGUCAUUGUAGUAAUACAAGGCAGUCGGCUCAGUAACGCGUAGUCAACCUACCCUAUGGACGGGAAUAACCUCGGGAAACUGAGUAUAAUGCCCGAUAGAACACUAUACCUGGAAUGGUUUGUGUUCCAAAUGAUUUAUCGCCGUAGGGUGGGACUGCGGCCUAUCAGUUUGUUGGUGAGGUAAUGGCCCACCAAGACUAUUACAGGUACGGGCUCUGAGAGGAGUAGCCCGGAGAUGGGUACUGAGACACGGACCCAGGCCCUAUGGGGCGCAGCAGGCGAGAAAACUUUGCAAUGUGCGAAAGCACGACAAGGUUAAUCCGAGUGGUUUGUGCUAAACGAACCUUUUGACAGUCCUAGAAACACUGUUGAAUAAGGGGUGGGCAAGUUCUGGUGUCAGCCGCCGCGGUAAAACCAGCACCUCAAGUGGUCAGGAUGAUUAUUGGGCCUAAAGCAUCCGUAGCCGGCUCUGUAAGUUUUCGGUUAAAUCUGUACGCUCAACGUACAGGCUGCCGGGAAUACUGCAGAGCUAGGGAGUGGGAGAGGUAGACGGUACUCGUAGGAAGGGGUAAAAUCCUUUGAUCUAUUGAUGACCACCUGUGGCGAAGGCGGUCUACCAGAACACGUCCGACGGUGAGGGAUGAAAGCUGGGGGAGCAAACCGGAUUAGAUACCCGGGUAGUCCCAGCUGUAAACUAUGCAAACUCAGUGAUGCA